This 446-nucleotide ribosomal RNA is filed under the name uncultured bacterium. RNAcentral's name for it is "bacterial SSU rRNA". It matches the Rfam family "Bacterial small subunit ribosomal RNA", at positions 329 to 792 of the family's 1533-position model. The record is from RNAcentral.
CGCCAGACUCCUACGGGAGGCAGCAGUGGGGAAUAUUGCACAAUGGGGGAAACCCUGAUGCAGCGACGCCGCGUGAGCGAUGAAGUAUUUCGGUAUGUAAAGCUCUAUCAGCAGGGAAGAAAAUGACGGUACCUGACUAAGAAGCCCCGGCUAACUACGUGCCAGCAGCCGCGGUAAUACGUAGGGGGCGAGCGUUAUCCGGAUUCACUGGGCGUAAGGGGAGCGCAGGCGGCACGGCAAGUCCGGUGUGAAAGCCCGGGGCCCAACCCCGGGACUGCACUGGAAACUGCCGGGCUGGAGUGUCGGAGGGGCAGGCGGAAUUCCUAGUGUAGCGGUGAAAUGCGUAGAUAUUAGGAGGAACACCGGUGGCGAAGGCGGCCUGCUGGACGACGACUGACGCUGAGGCUCGAAAGCGUGGGGAGCAAACAGGAUUAGAUACCCGAGUA